Molecule: ribosomal RNA, 245 nt
Filed under: uncultured bacterium
Lineage: Bacteria
Description: partial 16S ribosomal RNA
Rfam family: Bacterial small subunit ribosomal RNA
Source: RNAcentral
CACGUAGGGAGCAAGCGUUAUUCGGAAUUACUGGGCAUAAAGGGCGUGUAGGCGGUGAGGCGUGUUGGAUGUGAAAGCCCCCGGCUCAACCGGGGAAUUGCGUUCAAAACUGUCUCGCUAGAGUGGAGUAGGGGAGAGUGGAACUCUGGGUGGAGCGGUGAUAUGCGUUGAUAUCCAGAGGAACGCCGGUGGCGAAAGCGACUCUCUGGGCUCCAACUGACGCUGAGGCGCGAAAGCCAGGGGAG